RNAcentral lists this long non-coding RNA (832 nucleotides) under Equus caballus (horse). RNAcentral's name for it is "lncRNA (ENSECAG00000054025.1)". Lineage: Eukaryota; Metazoa; Chordata; Mammalia; Perissodactyla; Equidae. The record is from RNAcentral.
GUUGAACUGACUGUAAAGUUAUCUCUUUUACAAGAGCUUGAAUUCUUUCAUCCAUGGCAGCGGUUCAAGCCAUGGGAACAGAUGCAAAUACCACACAGGUUUUUUGAAUCUUGGGGAAAGGUGAGGAUGGCACAUGUCAGCAGCAGAGGCGUUGGGAUCAGGGGCCCAGGAUCAGAGCCACUGCGAGCGCAGCACUCAGGCUGAGGCCAGAGAGGGUGGAAGAAUGGCAGGCAGACAUACGACGCGCCUUCCCCCGUGCACUCCUGUAAAGCUGCCUCUCUCAACCAGGUCCUAUCCUGGGAGAAGGAAGGGCCAACUCUUGAGAGGCAAGCAGCUUUGUCUGGAAGGUCGGACUUCAGCUGACCAGGCGAAAUCCUGAAUUGACUGGACAAGUACCCAAAAGAGACUGUCGUGCACGAAGAGAAACUGAGUUACCCACAAGUGUGAGUAUUGCUUGUCAUUACAGAGCAGAAGUAAGGACUUGCGAGCGAGUCGGCUCUAUAUUGGCGGAAGUGAAAGAACAUUGCAUUUCUGGUCAUCUGAGUCAUAGCACGUAAGUUUAAAUCUAAACUUUGUGGAGGAGGUCAAGUCCUCAGUACGCUAAUUAGGAGACUGCCUGCUCAUCUGGGUGAGCUAUCUGAGAAUAACAGCUAGGUCUCAGCCUUCGUCGACUCAAGAAAGAAAGUCUCAGGUUCAUAUGUGAAUUCUUAUCCUGUCCAAGCUAUUAUUCUAGUGGAAAUAUGAUUAAGAACAAUCCAGGGUCACAAGGAAGCCCAGCGCACCCCCAUAAGGAAAGAGCCGCGUGCCUUUCCUUCCUCCUGAUGUAAGGCAU